This is a long non-coding RNA of Stegodyphus dumicola, 1812 nucleotides long. The record is from RefSeq and is a predicted model, not a curated record. NCBI's taxonomy places the organism in Eukaryota, Metazoa, Arthropoda, Arachnida, Araneae, Eresidae.
CUUUGCUCUAAAUAGCACUGUUCGUUUACAGUAUAUUUUCAUUUUCGAGGUUAUGGCCCUCUUUACCGUCCUCUUUUUGUAAGCAUCGUCUCUCAAGCUUUCGAGCAACCAGCAAUAUCAUAUGUAAUGGCAUUUCAGAUCUCUCUAAAUUUUUCUAAAAUUCUUAAAUAUUCCGAUUAGUUGAAUGUCGGAUAGUCGUUUACUUUGCAGGACUGAAAUAUAACUUGCAGGUGGAAAAUGUAACUAUUCUGCCCGCGGAUGUUAUCCUUAUUUAAGGAAAUCCCAUCCAUUUCUGUGAAAACUGUGUCGUGCCACUUUGAAUUGCUGAAUUUAACUUUUCCUAUUACUUUUGGAUCACUUGGUGUAUUGUUAAUGCAGUGUUGCUUAGUUCUAUUUUGGACCUUGCAUUCAUGCCUCUUCAGCAUGGUCAGCAUAUAACUAUAUUUUACUACAUCUACUGGUGGUUGACCUUUCCCCCAACUGUCUUUUGAAUUCAAUAACCGGUGUUCUUUUCAUGAACGUCAGAGAUAAUUUCCUCUGGGCAUUUGAAUGUGGCUAAUGGUAAUAACAAGGCUCGAAAGAAUAACAGUGAAUCCAGAAGGUUGUUUUCUAGAAAUAUCACCAAACAUCAAUACUGGCAUAUGGCCUACUCUACUUAGCAUGUGCUAGUAUUAGUGAAAGAAGAGUUUUAUUCAAUCUCUAUAGCAUUGAAGUAAAUUUGAAAUAUAAUGCAAUCAGUCAAGUGGAGUAUAAUAUACCUUAGGCAAUCAAGCAGCUUUUGAAUGCUCCUUGGGUAAUAGAGCAGAACUGAAAAUCACCUGAGGCAGUUGAGCAGCACUGGAAAGUGCCUGAAGCAAUCAAGCAGAACUGGAUUGCCCAUCAGGUGAUCAAGCUGAAUUUGAAAACGCUUCAAACAAUCGAGCAGAACUGUAAUGCACCUCAGGCGAUCAAACAGAAUUUGAACGUGCUUCAAGCAAUCGAGCAGAAUUGGAAUGAGCCUCAGGUGAUCGAGGAGAAUUGAGAUAAGCCGCAGACGAUCGAGCAAAAUUGGAAUGCACCUCAGGAGAUCGAAUAGAGUUAGGAUGAGCCUCAGGCGAUAGAUCAGAAUUUGAAUCAGAAUUUGAUAGCCUCAGGCGAUAGAUCAGAAUUUGAAUGAGCCCCAGACAGUCGAACAGAAUUGGAAUGCACCUUUGGUGAUCAAGCAGAAUUGGAAUGCACCUCGAGUGAUCAAGCAUAAUUGGAAUGCACCUCAGGCAAUCGACCAGAAUUGUAACACGCUUCAGGUUAUUGAGCAGAAUUGGAAUGUGCCUCAAGCGAUCAAGCAGUAUCUAGAUGAACGUCAAGUUGAAAUUGGAUGAGCCUCAGGUGAUCAGGCAGAAUUUGAACAUAUCUGAACUUCAAAUUCUGCUUGAUCACCUAGGGCAUGUCCAUGAGAUUUUCGAUUUAUCUGAAGUGACUGAGCAGAAUUUCUUUGAGCUUCUGAAAAUAAGCAUAAUUUCUAUGAUUCUCAGGUAGUCGAACAAGAUUUGGAUUUUGCUCAAGUUGUCGACUAGAAUUCAGAGGUAUAAAUCUUUUUUUCCCUCUCGCUCCCAUUUAAUUGAAAGUAAAAAUAAUUUUGGACCUUGGCUUUUUAACUUUCUGAUGUAAUGAUGUAAUGUAAUGAUGUUCUCUCAUAUAAAUUUAAAUAAUUGUAAAACUGUCUUUUUAACUCCUAAAUUUUUUUAUUACAAUUUUAUUAAUGUUAAACAGAAAAUACAAUGAAAUAAAGGCAAAUUAUUUUCAAAUGAUGAUAAUAUUGUAUAAUUUAAUACC